AUUGAACGCUGGCGGAAUGCUUUACACAUGCAAGUCGAGCGGCAGCGCGGGGGCAACCCUGGCGGCGAGCGGCGAACGGGUGAGUAAUACAUCGGAACGUGUCCUUAAGUGGGGGAUAGCUCGGCGAAAGCCGGAUUAAUACCGCAUAAGCUCUGAGGAGGAAAGCGGGGGAUUCGCAAGGACCUCGCGCUGUUGGAGCGGCCGAUGUCGGAUUAGCUAGUUGGUGGGGAAAGGCCCACCAAGGCGACGAUCCGUAGCUGGUCUGAGAGGAUGAUCAGCCACACUGGAACUGAGACACGGUCCAGACUCCUACGGGAGGCAGCAGUGGGGAAUUUUGGACAAUGGGGGCAACCCUGAUCCAGCCAUUCCGCGUGAGUGAAGAAGGCC
This 387-nucleotide ribosomal RNA is filed under the name uncultured bacterium. RNAcentral describes it as "bacterial SSU rRNA". It matches the Rfam family "Bacterial small subunit ribosomal RNA", at positions 29 to 416 of the family's 1533-position model. The record is from RNAcentral.